This 460-nucleotide ribosomal RNA is filed under the name uncultured bacterium. RNAcentral's name for it is "partial 16S ribosomal RNA". It matches the Rfam family "Bacterial small subunit ribosomal RNA", at positions 338 to 795 of the family's 1533-position model. The record is from RNAcentral.
CCUACGGGAGGCUGCAGUGAGGAAUAUUGGUCAAUGGACGAGAGUCUGAACCAGCCAAGUAGCGUGCAGGAUGACUGCCCUAUGGGUUGUAAACUUCUUUUAUAUGGGAAUAAAAUGUUCCACGUGUGGGAUUUUGUAGGUACCAUAUGAAUAAGGAUCGGCUAACUCCGUGCCAGCAGCCGCGGUAAUACGGAGGGUCCGAGCGUUAUCCGGAUUUAUUGGGUUUAAAGGGAGCGUAGGUGGAUUGUUAAGUCAGUUGUGAAAGUUUGCGGCUCAACCGUAAAAUUGCAGUUGAAACUGGCAGUCUUGAGUACAGUAGAGGUAGGCGGAAUUCGUGGUGUAGCGGUGAAAUGCUUAGAUAUCACGAAGAACUCCGAUUGCGAAGGCAGUUCACUGGACUGCAACUGAUACUGAGGCUCGAAAGUGUGGGUAUCAAACAGGAUUAGAUACCCGAGUAGUC